UACACACCGCCCGUCACACCAUGGGAGUCUGCAAUGCCCAAAGCCGGUGGCCUAACCUUCGGGAAGGAGCCGUCUAAGGCAGGGCAGAUGACUGGGGUGAAGUCGUAACAAGGUAGCCGUAGGAGAACCUGCGGCUGGAUCACCUCCUUUCUAAGGAA
Molecule: ribosomal RNA, 158 nt
Filed under: Bacillus thuringiensis
Lineage: Bacteria; Bacillati; Bacillota; Bacilli; Caryophanales; Bacillaceae
Description: partial 16S ribosomal RNA
Rfam family: Bacterial small subunit ribosomal RNA
Source: RNAcentral